CUCAGGGGAAAAUUUACCUUCACACUCACGCAGCCGUCCACCUUCUCCAGCUCACCAAGUAAGGCUGACAGUAAGGAGGACUUUCCUGCACCCACCUGGCCAACCACAGCAAGCAAGGAGCCUUGGGGCAUGGAACUAGAGGAGUGUUGAAAGAGAUCCAGAGGCACAGCUGGCAAUUCAAGUAAUUUGUUCUUCCAAUCUGUUCUUGGAUGUUUUAAGGAGGACAUCUUGUGGCUGGCCUAACCCAGGAAACAAUUUCUUCAGAGGAUUCCUCUUUCCUCACUGGCCACAAGUCAUCCACCCCCAAGGACUGCUGACAGCCUUUCCAGAGGAGCCUGGAGAACACACAGACUGCUGUAACGCAAGCAC
This is a long non-coding RNA of Pezoporus occidentalis (night parrot), 369 nucleotides long. RefSeq lists it as uncharacterized. The record is from RefSeq and is a predicted model, not a curated record. The transcript has 3 exons. NCBI's taxonomy places the organism in Eukaryota, Metazoa, Chordata, Aves, Psittaciformes, Psittacidae.